UCAGGCCCCCUCCAUUAUAAACGCGCUCGCCAUGAUGCAGUGGAACGAAAAUAGCGAUACGUGCAUUGCUUAAAAGUCUUGUGUUGGAUUACCACGCAGAGACUUCCAACAGAGAGACACCUCUAGUCAAAGUACCACUCUGUGCGGCAGGAAUAUCUUACCUAACUCAAAAGAACCUCUGUCCGUCAGGAUGCACUGCUCGAACAGGACCCAUCUGGUCAAUGCGCACUGCGAUGUGGCCGAGGACAAUAGAAGAGACAGGGAGCAUUACGAGUCGGAGUGGCUCGAGACGAGACCGCGGGGAAAAAUUACUCUGUCGGAGCACGACACCGUAAAGAAAGAGAGCUAUGAACAAGAACUGGUGACCAACUUCCGGGUGCAGAGAUUCCCCGAGCAGAAAAUCGGGGUGGGUAGACAAGGGGAGAUGUCUAAUCAGUUGCCUUACAAGAAUGUCCUCCCCAUGCCCCUAUUCUUGCCCAGGAAAGCAGUACCGUUCAAGGGCUCUGAACAUACAUAUACCCCUGCCGAAUCCAGGCCUAUAAUGGAGUUUGAGCAGCCACUAUCCAGUGGCGUGUGUAGGGAUAAACAAGCGGUCUCUCAAAUUACAAAAGGUCUGCCAAAAGUCAUCAAUCCCAUGGGCAAUUCCACAGGGUCUUUUCAGGUCCCUCAACUGGGCAGGUCUGCUCGCAUCCAGCGGAAACCUUGGUGAUGUCGCCAAUAUGGAAAUCUGCGAAUGGGCAAACAUAUCAAACAAAUGCAAUUGCCAAUUGUGGAUUGACUUUCUGGAGCGCUAGUGCCUGUUAUUGGUUUAAAAAAUGGAAUGAAGCAUCCCCAGUUCUUUUGUAUCGCAACUAGUUUGUGCAACACUUUAACCUAGGUUUUCAAGAUUAGUGGUAGAGAAUGCGUUCGAGCAUAUUGUAAUAACUCUGUACAAUGGAUUGCAUGUAUUUUUUGGACGAAAUAGUAUUUUUGAAUGAAACUGCUUUAUGAGUCAUGAAAAGGCAUGCCGAUUUUUUUAUUGUGAAAUAUUGUUUUACGAUACUGUACUUAAAGCAUGAUUUAUAGAACAAUAAAUUGUGGGCAUUCAAAUAAUUCACUGAACUUACUAUCAGCUAUGAAGUUAUUACUCUAUGAGGAAAAAAUGUAAGCUGACACAUUAUGGCUCAAUAUUUUCUGUGAAAAGCUUAAAUGCUAUAAUUUGUACUUCGGCCAUUUCUCAGUACUGUGCCCUCCAAAAUGUUUGGUCAAGAUAACCAAAGAAAUCUACAUGAAAUAAAUAAAAUAAUUAUAUAUUGUAUGAUAAAAAUUGAAUUGAAUAAUUCAUAUUAUUUCAUGCUAAUACAAUUGCUCAGGGAAAAAGAUUUGGGUUAACAUCCAAUUUGUUCCUAAAUUAUAUGUGUAGGUCAGUGGUUCCCAACCCUGUUCCUGGAGCUCCACCAUCCUGUCCGUGGUCACUCCAAUAAAGCACUCCUCAUUCAACAGCUAGAGAUCUUUUUGAGCUGGUAAUUAGUAGAAUCAGGUGUGGGUUGAAAUUAAAACCUGGUAGGUCUCCAGGAACAGGAUUGGGAACCACUGGAAUAGGUACACCAAAUCAUAAAGUUUGUGAUUUGUAUUCAAGAGGGCAGUCCAUAAGCGCAGACCAAAAGUUCUGAUGGAUGUUGAAAUAUUUUGUGGAAAGGAGAAAUAUGAUAUGGGGCACCCAAAUUAAUGUUGUCUGCAUGCUGCAUGUUUUUAGAAACAGAUAUAUGAAGACUGAUUCAUUUUUUUU
Anguilla rostrata (American eel) is the source of this 1768-nucleotide long non-coding RNA. RefSeq lists it as uncharacterized. The transcript has 2 exons. NCBI's taxonomy places the organism in Eukaryota, Metazoa, Chordata, Actinopteri, Anguilliformes, Anguillidae. The record is from RefSeq and is a predicted model, not a curated record.